RNAcentral lists this long non-coding RNA (261 nucleotides) under Lathyrus oleraceus (garden pea). RNAcentral's name for it is "Pisum sativum (pea) long non-coding RNA (PSAT_LNC027056)". The record is from RNAcentral. Lineage: Eukaryota; Viridiplantae; Streptophyta; Magnoliopsida; Fabales; Fabaceae.
GGAAAACUGCAUAUACUGGGGAAAACGCCAAUACAGCAAAAGGGUAAAAUCACAACAGGAAACUCCACUGGGGAAUAUCUAUUACCGUCAGAACAUAGACAAUAUACUCGCAUGGAAGGAACACCAGGGAUACCGGUUACUUGGCAUAUAAUAGGUGACCAACCGAAAAGAGAGACAAUCGAUACCAACAACAACAGGGUAAACGAAAGAUAACUCACAAGGGAUAAAUUGCAAGCAUCCGGCAAUUAUCCAAGAGACAUA